AUGCUUGAUAGCCCGCAUGCUGAGGAGUUGCAACUUAGAAGACUUAAUUAUGGGGUGGUUACUUUGAUUCCUAAAACGAAAGAUGCUGCAACUAUCAAGCAAUAUCGGCCAAUAUGUUUAUAUUAUGUUUGUUAGAAAAUUGUGAAUAAAGUACUGACAAAUAGGCAUGAGAGAGUUGCAGAUAAGGUGGUGAGUAAGAGUCAGACGGCAUUUAUGAAAAACGGAAAUAUUUUAGAUGGGGUGGUCACUAUCCAUGAGGUGUUUCAUGAGCUUAGGAGGACUAAACAAGAGGGGGUCAUACUAAAGCUAGACUUUGAAAAAGCAUAAGACAGGGUGAAUUGGGAUUUUCUACAAGAGGUUUUGCUUAAAAAGGGUUUUCUUUAG
This 384-nucleotide ribosomal RNA is filed under the name Triticum aestivum (bread wheat). RNAcentral describes it as "partial small subunit ribosomal RNA". The record is from RNAcentral. Lineage: Eukaryota; Viridiplantae; Streptophyta; Magnoliopsida; Poales; Poaceae.